CUACCGCAUAUUCUGUGAGCAGGAAAGCAGGGGGACCCGCAAGGCCUUGCGCUCUUUGAGCGGCCGAUGUCAGAUUAGCUAGUUGGUGAGGUAACGGCUUACCAAGGCGACGAUCUGUAGCGGGUCUGAGAGGAUGAUCCGCCACACUGGAACUGAGACACGGUCCAGACUCCUACGGGAGGCAGCAGUGGGGAAUUUUGGACAAUGGGCGCAAGCCUGAUCCAGCCAUGCCGCGUGAGUGAAGAAGGCCUUCGGGUUGUAAAGCUCUUUCGGCCGGGAAGAAAUCGCAUGGGUUAAUACCCUGUGUGGAUGACGGUACCGGAAUAAGAAGCACCGGCUAACUACGUG
RNAcentral lists this ribosomal RNA (348 nucleotides) under uncultured bacterium. RNAcentral describes it as "bacterial SSU rRNA". It matches the Rfam family "Bacterial small subunit ribosomal RNA", at positions 166 to 507 of the family's 1533-position model. The record is from RNAcentral.